GCCACGAUAGCUCAGUUGGUAGAGCGCCUGGUUGAAGCCCAGGAGGCACUGGUUCAAUUCCGGUUCGUGGCA
This 72-nucleotide transfer RNA is filed under the name Myxococcales bacterium. RNAcentral's name for it is "tRNA-Phe". It matches the Rfam family "tRNA". From Rfam's summary of the family: Transfer RNA (tRNA) molecules are approximately 80 nucleotides in length. The record is from RNAcentral. Lineage: Bacteria; Pseudomonadati; Myxococcota; Myxococcia; Myxococcales.